UCGUCAGCUCGUGUCGUGAGAUGUUGGGUUAAGUCCCGCAACGAGCGCAACCCCUGCCGUUAGUUGCUACCCGGAACGGCGAGCCCUUUAAGGGGACUGCCGGGGAUAAGCCGGAGGAAGGUGGGGAUGACGUCAGGUCAGUAUGCCCCUUAUGCCCGGGGCAACACAGGCGCUACAGUGGCCAGGACAAUGGGAUGCAACCCAGCAAUGGGGAGCAAAUCCCCCAAACCUGGUCAUGGUCAGAUUGAGGGCUGAAACUCGCCCUCAGAA
This 270-nucleotide ribosomal RNA is filed under the name uncultured Thermocrinis sp. RNAcentral describes it as "partial 16S ribosomal RNA". It matches the Rfam family "Bacterial small subunit ribosomal RNA", at positions 1052 to 1323 of the family's 1533-position model. The record is from RNAcentral. Lineage: Bacteria; Pseudomonadati; Aquificota; Aquificia; Aquificales; Aquificaceae.